Molecule: transfer RNA, 77 nt
Filed under: Gemmatimonadota bacterium
Lineage: Bacteria; Pseudomonadati; Gemmatimonadota
Description: Gemmatimonadetes bacterium tRNA-Val
Rfam family: tRNA
About the family: Transfer RNA (tRNA) molecules are approximately 80 nucleotides in length.
Source: RNAcentral
GGGCGAUUAGCUCAGAUGGUUAGAGCGCUGGUUUCACAUACCAGAGGUCACUGGUUCGAGUCCAGUAUCGCCCACCA